This 4683-nucleotide long non-coding RNA is filed under the name Sarcophilus harrisii (Tasmanian devil). RNAcentral's name for it is "lncRNA (ENSSHAG00000026738.1)". Lineage: Eukaryota; Metazoa; Chordata; Mammalia; Dasyuromorphia; Dasyuridae. The record is from RNAcentral.
GGGAGGAAGAACAAGAAGAGGAAGAAGAGGAGUGAAAGGGAAAUAGAGAUUAAGGAAGGGGAAGAGAAAAUGGGAGAAAGGAGAAGAGAGAAGUAUGUAUGGGAGAGAGGGAGGGAGGAAAGAAAAAGAAGGAAGGAGAGAGAAAGGGGAUAAAGAGGAGAGAAAAAGUAAAGACAGAAGAAAGAGGAGAAGGAAGAAAGUAUGAGAGGAAAGCAGAGAAGAGAGGAAAAAGAAAGAGAAGAAAGGAAAGGAGGAGGAAGGGGAAAAGAUUAAGAGACAAAAAGAGAGAUAGAGAGGAGGAGGAGGAGGAGGAAGAAGAGGAGAGGAAGGAGGAGGAAGAGGAGAGGAGGAGGAGGAGGGGAGAGAAAAGAAGAGGAGGGGGGAAGAAGAGGAGGAAGAGGAGAGUUGGAGGAGGAGGGGAGGAGAAGGAUGAGAGGAGAAGGAAGGAGAGAAAGAGGAGAAGGAGGGGGGAAAGUAAGUACUGAGAAGGGGGAGGAGGGGAAGGGAGAGAAGAGGAAGGUGGAGGAGAAAGAGGAGGAGGGGAGGAAGAACAAGAAGAGGAAGAAGAGGAGGGAGAGAGAGAGCUAGAAAUGAAGAUUGAGGGAGGGGGAGAGAACAAGGGAGAAAGGAGAAGAGAGAGAAGUGUGUGUGGGAGAGAGGGGGGAGGAAAGAGAGAGAAGGAAGAAGAGAGAAAGGAGAGAAAAAGAAAAGACAGAGGAGAGGAGAAAGAAGAAAGUAAGAGAGGAUAGGAGAGAAGAGAGGAAAAAGAGGAGAGAAGAAAGAAAAGGAGGAAGAGGGGAGAAAGAUAAAGAGACAAAAAGAGAGACAGAGGAGGAGGAGGAGGGAAAAAGAGGCGGAGGAAGAGGAGAAGAAGAGGAAGAGGAGGAAAAAGAGGAGGAGGGGGGGAGAGAGAGAGAAAUGGAGAUCGAAAGAGAGAAAGAAGAGGAAAGAAGGAGAAGAGAGAUGUGUGUGUGUGAGAGAGAAAGACAGGGACAGAGACAGAGAAAGACAAAGAAAGGAAAGGAGAGAGAGAAGGAGAGGAAGGAGAGGGAGGGAGGAAAAAGGGAAAGAGAGAAAGAAAAAGAAAGGAGAGAAGAAAGGGAAACCAGAGAAAGGAUAGAAAGAAACAGGAGAGGAGAAAGAAGAAAGAGGAAAGGAAAUAAAAAGAAAAGAGAGAGGGAGAGAGGAAAAAGAAAAAGAAGGGAGGAAAAAGAAGAGGGGAAGAGGAAGAGAUGGAAAGAAGGGGGAGGAGAAAGGGAAGGAGGAGGAUAAAAAGGAGGAGGAGAAGUUGAAGAAAGAAGAGGAAGAGGAGGAAGAAGAAGAGGAAAAGGAAGAGAAAUAGAGAGAUGGAGUUAGAGGGAGAAAGAGAAAGAGGGGGAGAGAAGGAAAAGAGAGAGGUGUGUGUAUGAGAGGGGGGAGGAGAGAAAAAAGAAGAGAAAGAGGAGAGAAAAGGAAAGGAGAGAAGAGAGAAGAAAGGAGACAGGACAGAGGAUAGAGAGAAAGAAAGGAGAAAGAAAAAUAAGAGAGAAAAGGAGAAAAAAGAGAAGAGAGAGAAGGAAAAGAAGAGAGAGAAAGAGACAGGAGGGAAAGAAGGAAGAGUUCUUUUGAUGUGUUGCAAAAAAAUGCAGCAAAACCUCCUAAACAGUGCAACUUACGUUGGGCAAAGACCGUGGCCCCUGUUCUAAGGUGGAUGUGCCUGGUAGAAUCCCAGCCUGCAUUCCCAGUCCAGAUACCUGCAAUGCUCUCUGUUUGGAAAAGGACCUUCCCAAAAGCAAAGCUUGAUGUAUAUUUUAAAACUCAGUCAAAUGAAAAGGAAAGUCCCUCAUCCCUGAUACUGCUGAAGCUCAGAAUUUCAGAAAUAAAAGAAACCGCACAUCUAAUUGGAAGAACAACCUACAAUUAAUGGGAUUUCUCCCUCCACAAUAGCCCCAACAGGUCGUCCAUCUAUUCUCUACUUGAAGAUAUCCAAUGAUGGAGAGUUUGUCACCUCUGAAAGCAAAUUGUUACUCUUUAAGCCAGUUCCAAUUGUUAGGAAGUUUUUUCUCCUAUAAAGCCAAAAUCUUCCUCCCCAAGUUUCUAACUGGUGUUCCUACUUCUGCCCUUUGGGGCCAAACUGAAUUUAGAUAAUCCUCUUGUCAUCCAACAGAUCCAUUCACCUGUGGAGAAUCUCAAAAUCAGAAAUCUGCCAUCGCAUGAAUAAGCAAAGUUCUUCCAGUUUCUUCACAGAUUCCCUUACUUUACUUCCUCUUGUACCCAGGUACAACACAGACUUCCAUCUUCCUGUGAAGAUCCCAUAUCUCCCUGCCUUAUUUUAUUGUCUUCAUGAGUGGUUGUGUCCAAAUAAUUUAUCUCUUGGUGAAAAAUUUCCUUGUACCUAGCUAGACUGAUUAUCAAAUGACCUACAGGAUCCAUCAUGGACCUUCAACUUGAAAUGUUUCCUCCUUGGUAGGAUUUGCCGCAGUUUCUCUCCUAGCAUCUCCCUCAAGAACUCCAAAUCCUUAUCUUGGGGUAACAGGAAAGAAAGCAUCACCAGGGGAUGCUGCUAGAAGAUAUUUUAAUUUGCAGAAUUUAGAUGCAUUUUAGACCAGCUUUCUUUCCUCACUUUUUGGGGGAGUUAAAAGUCCCAGAGUUAAGGGGUGCUUUAUAAGGCUGCCUUCCAGGCCCAAAUUCACUAGACUUGCCCCUCCUCUCUGCCUUGAUUCUUACCUGAAUAGAAACAAGGGGAUAUCACUGCCACUGUCCAAAGUAUUUCCAUUUCUCCAAGGCCCAGUCAGGAGGGCAAGACGUAUACCCAGUUACCUCUAGACCAGGUUAAUCACAGGGAAGUCCGCUGGUAAGGAAGGUACUGAAUCCUUUUAUUUCAGAUCAGGAAGGUCCCUGCCUUUGGUCUUCAACUUCUCUGUCCUCCAGGGAAAGAGACUAAUGAUCUCAGAACAGGGAUCUUUUUACAUGAAAAUCUUCCUAGUGCAUCAUUGUUUAGACUUUCAUUCUAGGAAUGUAAUGGCUAGAUGGCAAGACAUGAACACCUCAUCUUAAAUAUUACACUUGUAAAAAAUAAUCAUAGUACAAUAUUUUUUUUGGUUUUUCCAGAAGGUGAAAUCUGGAGUCCUCAACAAUUCUCCCUCCUGAAACACAUUAAAUUUUCUUUGGGGACCUUCCAAUAUGUCUCUCUAGAAUAGUCUUGAUAUCACUCAGAGACUGUGCCUGGAACAGGGACCCAGGGCACCAAAGGCAGACCUAGGAGUAAAGGGACUUCAGAGCCGGGGAUCCCUGCCUCACCUGCUGGGUUGGAGGCCCAUUCCAAGAGGCUUGGCCAGACAAGACCGGACCGAGCCAUGGUUCCCUCAUCCCCUCUUGUCCCAGCUGGGGCAGGGACGUGAACCAGAAAUCCCCAGAAGCCUCUCCUCCCUCAUCUCUUUCAGGGAGCUGUGGGGGAUUGGAGUGCUUGGAGACCGAAGGGUGCCAGCUUGUCCUUCCCCGCUCUACUCCAAAGCACCAGACCCACGUGCCCAGGUCCCCUCUCAGCCAGAUGUGAAGUUUCCAGCUGUGUCUAUGUGGGAGUGACUGUCCUAACUGGUAGACCAUGUGCAGUGUGAUAUUUUUCUAACAGACAACUAAUAAAAAGUGUAACAGUGCCUGUGUAACAAUGCUGGGGCUUCUCUGCGUUGUACUCAAAACCCAGUCCUACUAUGGCCUCCCAGAUAGGAUUGGUGGGAAGGGAAGGGGAGGAGACCCAUGAGCUUAGGUGUAUGGUGGCAGGAGGUGAGCAGUGUCAGGGUGACUGGGAAACAAGUGGAAUCGAGGGAGGGGACACUGGCAGAAGGAAGGGGAAGGCAGAUCGGUCCAGUUCCUAUUCGCAUACCCUCCCCCCACCCAACCUCCCUUCCAGACUUUCCAUUGCUCAAGAGUCAGUCCUUGCUGAAAUCUAAUCAACUCCUCCUGCAAUGAAGUAUUCAGUCCCAUUAAUCCCACAUGAUUUUCUGAAAGCCAUCUAGACUUGUGCUAAGCCAAAUCAUAAUUCCUUUUUGUACCUCAGUUAUCCUCUCUGUAAAUAUGAGGAGGCUCAUUCUCGGCACUCAAUAUUUGUGCAAUGAAAGGGAGAAAUAGGAGACAUCAGUGUAGAGUGUACCAAGUCACAAGAGCCAACCAUUGGAGAGUUUCUUCCUUCUCAGCCUCAUUUUCCCCAUCAGUAAAAUUAUUCUCUCAGGAGUAUGACAGAAGGAAUUCUGACCCUCAUAGAAUUUCCUCAUCUAUAAAAUGAGCCACUGAAACCUCUUCCAGCUCUAAAGCUCUAUCUAUCUAAAGCCCUUACCUACCAGGAGUAGGGGUGGAAAACAGCACCUUUUCUGCCCUCCCCUCCUCCUCCUCUCCCCAGCUCAGUAGCCUGACUCAAACCUAUGCUCCCUGAGGCUGGAGAUGGAGGUGGGAUGGAGCUUGUUUGUUUUCCAACAGCUUCACCAAGGACUCUUGGAGGGCAAGAGUCUCCCAGGGGCAGGAAGUAAUUAAGAUGGGGAGGGGGACAACCCAGAGCUGAGAAUAGGUCAGUUGGCAGACGUCUGGCUAAGAGUCCUCACGACUGGUUCUGGAUGGACGACUCCAAAUAAGCAAGGCCAUUACUAACUGCUCUCCUACGCUGAGGGAUGGUUUCCUGAAGGGGAGACUGCCCUGUCUCUGCCAUCCCCG